Molecule: ribosomal RNA, 927 nt
Filed under: Salmonella enterica
Lineage: Bacteria; Pseudomonadati; Pseudomonadota; Gammaproteobacteria; Enterobacterales; Enterobacteriaceae
Description: partial 23S ribosomal RNA
Rfam family: Bacterial large subunit ribosomal RNA
Source: RNAcentral
AGGGUGACAGCCCCGUACACAAAAGCGCAUGUGCUGUGAGCUCGAUGAGUAGGGCGGGACACGUGGUAUCCUGUCUGAAUAUGGGGGGACCAUCCUCCAAGGCUAAAUACUCCUGACUGACCGAUAGUGAACCAGUACCGUGAGGGAAAGGCGAAAAGAACCCCGGCGAGGGGAGUGAAAAAGAACCUGAAACCGUGUACGUACAAGCAGUGGGAGCCCCACCACUAAGCCAGUGGUGAACUCCACAUACGCAUCCUUUGCUGAGGAUACGGUUAACGGAGCGAAAGCGACGUUCAACCGCAAAAGAAGCAGAGGGGGCUUAGUGGUGGGGUGACUGCGUACCUUUUGUAUAAUGGGUCAGCGACUUAUAUUCUGUAGCAAGGUUAACCGAAUAGGGGAGCCGGAGGGAAACCGAGUCUUAAUUGGGCGUUAAGUUGCAGGGUAUAGACCCGAAACCCGGUGAUCUAGCCAUGGGCAGGUUGAAGGUUGGGUAACACUAACUGGAGGACCGAACCGACUAAUGUUGAAAAAUUAGCGGAUGACCUGUGGCUGGGGGUGAAAGGCCAAUCAAACCGGGAGAUAGCUGGUUCUCCCCGAAAGCUAUUUAGGUAGCGCCUCGUGAAUUCAUCUCCGGGGGUAGAGCACUGUUUCGGCUAGGGGGCCAUCCCGGCUUACCAACCCGAUGCAAACUGCGAAUACCGGAGAAUGUUAUCACGGGAGACACACGGCGGGUGCUAACGUCCGUCGUGAAGAGGGAAACAACCCAGACCGCCAGCUAAGGUCCCAAAGUCAUGGUUAAGUGGGAAACGAUGUGGGAAGGCCCAGACAGCCAGGAUGUUGGCUUAGAAGCAGCCAUCAUUUAAAGAAAGCGUAAUAGCUCACUGGUCGAGUCGGCCUGCGCGGAAGAUGUAACGGGGCUAAACCAUG